UAAACAGGAUAUUGAUGGAACCAUACUGAUCUAGUUGCAUGUCUAUCAACGUCUUUCAAGGCAAACAGUAAUGGAGAAGGGAAGGGAUUAUCCUAAUGCAGUAUCCCUCCCCAGGAACAAACUGGUCGAGAUUAUGAAUAUAAAGAGAUAGUUCAAAAAGCUGAUGCAGUUGUUACAAGCUUCUAAGUACAAUCUUCCUGAAGUGAUCAUUACCCUUUUUUUUUUUUUUUUUUUUCUUU
Long non-coding RNA from Alnus glutinosa, 239 nucleotides. RefSeq lists it as uncharacterized. The record is from RefSeq and is a predicted model, not a curated record. The transcript has 3 exons. NCBI's taxonomy places the organism in Eukaryota, Viridiplantae, Streptophyta, Magnoliopsida, Fagales, Betulaceae.